CGUAGGCAUGUAAUAGGCUAUUAUUAGCCUCGCCCAGCUUUGCAUAGGCGAGGACUAGGUACUCGUUAACCAAGGAUUUGUCCCUGUGUUUGUUCAACAUGUGCUUGUACAUGUAUUUGUAUGUGGCAUGCAAUAGACUAUUAUUAACCGAGGAUUGUGUGUAUUACAUGCAAUACCUUCUACCUACCAUGCAGUUGGUGCAGCUUUUGUGUGCCAUUGUGUAAGUUCCACAAAGAAAAUGGAAGUGCUCCUGAGUAUAAACUCUGUCCCAAUAACUGUUAAAACUUUUGUAAUGUUGUUAUUAUUGUUUUUGUUUUAAAUAAAGUGUAUAAUUAACAUGA
Amphimedon queenslandica is the source of this 341-nucleotide long non-coding RNA. RefSeq lists it as uncharacterized. The record is from RefSeq and is a predicted model, not a curated record. The transcript is spliced from 3 exons. NCBI's taxonomy places the organism in Eukaryota, Metazoa, Porifera, Demospongiae, Haplosclerida, Niphatidae.